RNAcentral lists this ribosomal RNA (253 nucleotides) under uncultured bacterium. RNAcentral's name for it is "partial 16S ribosomal RNA". It matches the Rfam family "Bacterial small subunit ribosomal RNA", at positions 524 to 776 of the family's 1533-position model. The record is from RNAcentral.
UACAGAGGGUGCAAGCGUUGUUCGGAAUUAUUGGGCGUAAAGCGCGCGCAGGCGGUCCUUUAAGUCUGAUGUGAAAGCCCACGGCUCAACCGUGGAGGGUCAUUGGAAACUGGGGGACUUGAGUGCAGAAGAGGAAAGCGGAAUUCCACGUGUAGCGGUGAAAUUCGUAGAUAUUCGGAAGAACACCAGUGGCGAAGGCGGCUCACUGGCCCGUUACCGACGCUCAGGCGCGACAGCGUGGGGAGCAAACAGG